Molecule: ribosomal RNA, 460 nt
Filed under: uncultured bacterium
Lineage: Bacteria
Description: partial 16S ribosomal RNA
Rfam family: Bacterial small subunit ribosomal RNA
Source: RNAcentral
CCUACGGGUGGCAGCAGUGAGGAAUAUUGGUCAAUGGGCGCUAGCCUGAACCAGCCAAGUAGCGUGAAGGAUGACUGCCCUAUGGGUUGUAAACUUCUUUUAUAUGGGAGUAAAGUUCAGUAUGUAUACUGCGUUGCAUGUACCUUAUGAAUAAGGAUCGGCUAACUCCGUGCCAGCAGCCGCGGUAAUACGGAGGAUCCGAGCGUUAUCCGGAUUUAUUGGGUUUAAAGGGUGCGUAGGCGGGUUGUUAAGUCAGUGGUGAAAUUUUGCGGCUCAACCGUGAAACUGCAUUUGAUACUGGCAUCCUUGAGUACAGUUGAGGUAGGCGGAAUGCGUGGUGUAGCGGUGAAAUGCUUAGAGAUCACGCAGAACUCCGAUUGCGAAGGCAGCUUGCUGGACUAUAACUGACGCUGAUGCACGAAAGUGUGGGUAGCAAACAGGAUUAGAUACCCCAGUAGUC